RNAcentral lists this ribosomal RNA (404 nucleotides) under uncultured Eubacteriales bacterium. RNAcentral describes it as "bacterial SSU rRNA". It matches the Rfam family "Bacterial small subunit ribosomal RNA", at positions 356 to 774 of the family's 1533-position model. Lineage: Bacteria; Bacillati; Bacillota; Clostridia; Eubacteriales. The record is from RNAcentral.
GGGGAAUAUUGCACAAUGGGCGAAAGCCUGAUGCAGCGACGCCGCGUGAGCGAAGAAGGUCUUCGGAUCGUAAAGCUCUGUCUUUGGGGACGAAGGAAGUGACGGUACCCAAGGAGGAAGCCCCGGCUAACUACGUGCCAGCAGCCGCGGUAAUACGUAGGGGGCGAGCGUUGUCCGGAAUUACUGGGCGUAAAGGGUGCGUAGGCGGCCAUAUAAGUCAGGUGUGAAAAACCACGGCUUAACCGAGGUAUUGCACAUGAAACUGUAUGGCUUGAGUACAGGAGAGGAAAGUGGAAUUCCUAGUGUAGCGGUGAAAUGCGUAGAGAUUAGGAAGAACACCAGUGGCGAAGGCGGCUUUCUGGACUGUAACUGACGCUGAGGCACGAAAGCGUGGGGAGCAAACA